AAUUUUCCAACAACUGAAAUUCAAAAAAAAAAAAAAAAAAAAAGGGGUCCUGGCAUUACUUUGUCUCUUUCACCUAAACCCAAAAACAGAGCUCCGUUCUUUACAUCAAACAUUCGGCAUUCAAAUCGGUGAGCAGAGCGGCAGAAAUUGGAACGAAACUUUGCACAUCCAGCUCACUCUCUCUUGUCUUUGCUUAGCUAGACACCAGUCCAAGCUUCCAAGAGGAAAUUGCCCGAAAUCCUUCACUCUCUCUCUUUCUCGUCGGUUGUUGUCCGCCAUUGUUGACCUUCCACCAGAUAUCUGAGCUUCCACCAGACGCCAUUUGCACGCCAGCCAGCUGCCAUUUCUGCCUCAGCAGUCAUCCCCAACCAAUUUUGUGACCCAUUGCGCUGCACAUUUUCUUUUCCCUUCGCAAAUGGCUUUCAAAUUCGUGGCUGUGCUUUGUAGCGCACAAACAGCAUAAAAGAUCCAAAAAGGUAUAUCAGAACAAGCAAGAUCUGCGGGAACGAGGUGGUUCAUCUGAACAAAUCCCUCAUUGCACCCCAGAUCCUCUGUACCUUAUCUUGGUUUUCUGUGAUCUCCAUCAUAUUCAUAUAGGUGCAUACAAAGUUUUCGACACAAGCCAGGAGACUUGAAGAGGCUUUGAUUGGUACCACUAGGAUCAAGUCCGCACAAGUGCAUCUUCAGAAUCUGAGGCAAAUCAUUGGUUGCAGAGAAUGGACACUCGCUUGGCACGUAAAGAUGAUCAUUUAGGCAUUACUCCACCUCAGGGUGGAGCUGCAGAUGAAGAUGACGAUUGAAGCUGCACCAUUAGGAUCACUAUAUUAUUUGUACAUGGAUUUGCUUGCAUUUUGUUUUUAAUCUGUGGAAUGUUGGAUGUUUAACUUGAUUUUACUUUUUCUGUUUUUUAAUUCACUAAAGACUUGUGCUUUUGCAGUGGUUUGUGAUUAUUGGCUGACAAGUUGUUGGAAAUAUUGCUUGGAUUAAA
Non-coding RNA from Coffea arabica (coffee), 988 nucleotides. NCBI's taxonomy places the organism in Eukaryota, Viridiplantae, Streptophyta, Magnoliopsida, Gentianales, Rubiaceae. The record is from RefSeq and is a predicted model, not a curated record.